AGUGAACGCUGGCGGUAGGCCUAACACAUGCAAGUCGAACGGCAGCACAGUAAGAGCUUGCUCUUACGGGUGGCGAGUGGCGGACGGGUGAGGAAUACAUCGGAAUCUACUUUUUCGUGGGGGAUAACGUAGGGAAACUUACGCUAAUACCGCAUACGACCUACGGGUGAAAGCAGGGGAUCUUCGGACCUUGCGCGAUUGAAUGAGCCGAUGUCGGAUUAGCUAGUUGGCGGGGUAAAGGCCCACCAAGGCGACGAUCCGUAGCUGGUCUGAGAGGAUGAUCAGCCACACUGGAACUGAGACACGGUCCAGACUCCUACGGGAGGCAGCAGUGGGGAAUAUUGGACAAUGGGCGCAAGCCUGAUCCAGCCAUGCCGCGUGAGUGAAGAAGGCCUUCGGGUUGUAAAGCCCUUUUGUUGGGAAAGAAAAGCAGCGGGUUAAUACCCCGCUGUUCUGACGGUACCCAAAGAAUAAGCACCGGCUAACUUCGUG
RNAcentral lists this ribosomal RNA (492 nucleotides) under uncultured bacterium. RNAcentral describes it as "partial 16S ribosomal RNA". It matches the Rfam family "Bacterial small subunit ribosomal RNA", at positions 29 to 507 of the family's 1533-position model. The record is from RNAcentral.